AUCACAACAUCUUCUGAAAUCCCUCGCACCCUUUCACCCAAAAGAUGUGCUUUGAGAGUUUCCUUCCUCAAUCAGGCUUUUGAAGUGAACAGACACCUCCUCCUUAAAAAUGGCCAUCCUUUUCCCUCGGGUCAUUCAAGUAAAGCAAAUUCUGCGGAAAUCAUUAUGCAAUGGAAACAACACUACUAAAUCUAUGGACAUCCCGAAAGGCUAUCUAGCAAUCUAUGUUGGUGAGCAAGAAAAGAAGCGAUAUGUGGUUCCUGUAUGGUUGUUAAGCGAACCUGCUUUUCAAGAAUUACUAGAUCAGGCAGUACAAGAAUUUGGGCAGGGCCGGUCCAAACGUAUAUGGGGCCCAGGGCGAAAAGGAAAAAAAGGGCCCCUUAAAGGACAAAUAUCAUAAAGAUUCAAAAAAAUAUCAUUUAUUUUUCAGUAUAAAUGCGUACAAUUAGCAAUAACAAGCAAGCCAAAUUGUUUAUCUUUUGAGCUAAUUUGAGUUUGAACCAACUUUAGACCCAAAAAAUCAUUUAGGUAUUAAUUUUUUUGUAUAUAUACACUACAUAUCCCAAAAAAUUUGGGCCCCCUGGAGACAUGGGCCCUAGGCGAUCGCCCGGGUUGCCCACCGUCUGGACCGGCCCUGAAUUUGGGUAUGUUCAUCAAAUGGGCGGCCUCACAAUUCCAUGCAGUGAAUAUACAUUCAGUGAUGUUGCUUCUCAGUUGGGCGCAUUAUGACUUCUAUACAACAUUCUUACAACCAACUAACCACUAGGUUUUUUUAUCAUUUGUAAAUAAAUGAAGACAAUUUUCCCUCUUGUAUGAAAUCGGAUCAAGGAAGAGUUUUGAGUUUACUAUAAUUUGCUUAGUGUAUGAAUGAGAAACUAAUUUCACGGUUGAUUAUUUGAAAUAUGAAUUUUGGGAGUGAAAUGGAGUUUUAACAAAGAUAGUUGCUUCUAGUGGUAAAACGAACUAAUACCAACUAAUCUUUCUUCCAUUUUCAUAUUUUAGGUGAAUGAAACUAAGGGAAACCAAAUAUUUCGUAAUAUGAAUUGGUAAUUAAUGUUACGUAUGCUGGAAUUUUAACUCUAUAAACAAUGUGGUAUUUAUCAAGUUCAGACUUAUCAUCAAAAAUAUAAUUGGUGAACAAUAUGUAGCACUUGGGUCGAUGACCUUGUGAUGGUGAUAUAUAAAACAUUAAAUCUCACAUGCUUUGGUUCUUUAAGAAAAUUAAUAUAUAAAUUGGCUAAACAUUGAUGCAUUACACGACGAAUUCGGUCCUGCUUGAAAACAAUUUCAUCGUAUGAAAAAAAAAACCUGGUGAUUAGAUAUAUGAAUAACGUUAUAUCAAUGUUUAACUAUUCUUAUGAUUACUUAUACACCCAUAUAUCAUGUAAAUUAGAGCCAAUGAGUCAUGUUUUUACAACUAUGCAAUUUCCUUGUCACAACCCAUUAAUAUGUGAAAUUGUUACAUACAACAUUAAAUUAACUGAGAAUCAUCGUGUAGAAGUAUUAUUUUCAAUCAUGAUUAUGCACUAUGACCGUUACGUAAAAGACAAUGAAAAAACAUUGAUAUUUGAUUUUGGUUCCUCAUAUAGGUGUAAGCACAUGUUAUUAGAUUAGCCAACAACUGAACAAAAAAAGUAUAGUACGCGUAUAUUUAUUCACAAUUUUUUUUUAAUUGAGCAGACACUUCUUUUUUGAAAGAAAAAAAAUGUUGACAAUGAAUUUUGUUUCUCAUUCAUAUAUAAGCUUAUAUCGUCAAAUAAUAUAUGGGGUACUCCAAACAAGUGAAAAUUCAUGUUUUAUACAAUAGGGACAACUGACAUAAUCCCACAUGCAUGUUGCAAAAAGGUCGAUCAAUGCUUUACAAAAAUGUGUAAGCAAACAAAAUAAUGUAACUUGACUUCAAAAUGCUCCCAGGCGACUUUGAAGUUCAAACAAUGUCUUCUCACUACAGCGGAUUUUAGGCCACCCAUUCGAUUGUCAUAUCGAAAUCCAAACUCUUCCUCCACCUAACGAGCACAGUUCAUGAACAUCGAUGUCUAAAUAAUCUCAAGUAACAAGUUAAUCUUCCCUUAUUCAAAGUUUUUACCAAAUGCUUAGAAUAAAAAGUAUGUUGCUAUUUCUUGCAUUUAAACUGUUUUAAUGUCAAAAAUAAUUAUAUUAAAAAAAAUAACAAAGUCAGCAAGUAGAUGAGAAAGAAGCAGAAUAAAACAACAAUCCAAUUUUAACCGAACAAUUUCAUUCUUUCAACUUGUUAAGCUUUUGUCCCUUCUUUGUAAAUUACUUAGAAUUGUCCCAUUUGCAUCAAUACACAUGUAGAUUUGUUUCCACAAUUCUUCUAACAUUUACAUACCAAUUCCACGUUAUAAUCAAAGUUUUACCUAACCCAUUCCCUUUUCCAUUAUGUGUUUGAAUUUACAGUUCAAUUCCAAUUUGACUAAAGGUUAGUAAUACUCAAAUCAGUCGCAUUCCAGAUAUUCAAGUUUUUGCCAUGCAAUCAUAUUUCUAAGCUCAUUACAAAUAGUAAUACAUGAGUCCAAAUCCAAUUUCAAAAUUUAUUUAAAUAUAUUUGAAAAAUCAACUUACUAUAAUUUGGUUAUUUCCUCAAGAAUCUAACAAACUGAAGAACAACUGGAAUUUUGGGUUACCAAAUGUGAGAAAUCACUCAUCUGUUAUAUGAUUUAUGUUCUCCUUUUCUUUUUCCCCUUUUUCUCGUUCGGUUCGCACUCAACAUAAUACAAAGAGACCUUGAAGGUAUCCCUUUCUUUCCAGAUUGCAGACAUAGGGUGUGCUUGACAAAAAUAGUUGUUACCCGGUAGCUCGUACCCGGUAGCUGCAAGCUGAAAACUAUAACAUUUAUUUUUUAUAUGAGUGUUUGAAAAAAGUAGGUAGAAGCUUUUGAAGUAUGUAAAAUUACAUAAAAUGACAAUUGUUUUUAUAUAUAUAUAUAUAUAUAUAUAUAUANNNNUAUAUAUAUGUAGACAGUUGUGUAAAUUGAUUUAAAAAAGCCCAGUCGCAUUUUGUUAAAUGCAAUAUGAAUUAACUUGUAGAUUUGGAGCAUUUUGUUUAAAGUCGAAAAUAAACGCUCGUAUUGCUAAACGAAGUUUUUUGUUUAAAUUGGAACGUUUUGUCAAAAUUUACAAGCUCUCAAACACUCCCAAACGCUCCGUGCCAAACACGCCAACCAUGCACACGAAUGCAAACAAGUGUUUCCUUUUAUUUUGUUAACAUUCGAUCUCACACAAAAAGAAUAUAAGGUGCUCCCCAAUUUCCACUUUUGAUCCCAACAUCUAACCUAUGUUUGCAUUAAGCCCUUCAUCCUCUAUUUAUUUUCAAAAUAACCAAACAAUAAUUAGUAGCAGAUUUUUCCGUCUAUUUUCAAAUUCGAAAUAUUUCAAAAUACCCUUCUAACUUAUGACCUAACUAUUCAACACACAUCUCAUUUUAAAUAUAUAAACAAUUAAUUUACUUCAUUAUUCUAUUUCUUUCCUUUUAAUAAACUUUUGGGCUAUUAAAUUCUAUUUUUGCCCACCAGCAUGCCCUGAAAUUCUUAUGUACUUGAUCGUCUGAUGUUCGAUAUGAAAUUUGGGAUGUUGCCCAGUCUCUUCAAGAAAACCACCCAUCCAUGAGCUAAGUUAGUGUAAGCUAUGACGUUCACUCCAUGUUUACAGAUCAAAUUCAUAGAAGCUAGGUCAUCAAACGUAUUAUAAAAUUUGGGAUGUUACCCAAUCUAUUCAAGAAUACCACACAUCCACGACCUAAGCUAGCGUAAGCCUAUGAAGUUCACUAUAUGCUCAAAUAAAUAAUUCGUAGAAGCUAGGUCAUCAAACUUAAAAUUUAUCUCAUUUUGAUAUUGAGAACGAGAUGGUAUCACGACAAUAGGAGGAGACAAAUUAUGCUUCAGAUAAAAAAGGCCCCUAUAUUAACAAAUACUAUAUUCAACAUUUGGUACCUAAAAAUAUUUGAGAAAAUAAAAAAAUCGAAGCAACGAUAGCAAAUGGUUCGUAAAUUAAUAUCAAAUAACCAAUCCAAAUCCAUCUCAAGAGAAGCCAAACGAUCAGAAAGUUUCUUCUUCCCAUCAUGAUGAUAAUCCAAAUCCAUCUUAAGAGAAGCCCUAUAUAAACAAGUAAUGUACUCAACACUUGAUGCCAGGUGGACUUGAUUUUUAUAAUUUGCGGUUUUAAGAGUAUAAAAAGUAUUAGUAAUUAACACCUUAAAAAUGUCAAAUUUCAAUAACUUACAUAAACACUAACAAACUAAUAAAUUGAGUAAUUAACAAUUAACCACUUAACAAUCGACAUUUAAAUAGCUUAAUUUAAAAGUUCAGACAGCACCAAACGAAUUUUUUAAGAGUUUGAGACAUUUAAAACACCACUAAAUCAAUAAGCUAAGUAUUAAUGACUAACAUCUUAAAAACACCCUAUUUGUAAAAUUUAAAAAAAAAAAAAAAAAGACAACAACAACAUUUUUUUCUCCUACUAUUUUCCCUUUUUUUCUUUCGCUGUACAAAUUUGCUAUUCGAACUUUCUUUCCACUAACUAGACUACAAGGCAAGCAAAAUCAUUACGUACUCAACAAUUAAAAAAUUAUUAACCAUUAGAGUAUAUAAACAAAGAGAAACAAAUUUUUUUGUCGACUAUUUUAUAAAUAUGAUUCUUUUGUUUGGGAGUGAAAUUGUGUACUGUGUUAAUGUUAUAUCUUGGCUUGUCUUGUACAAGUGCAUAAAGCAUACAAAGUUAACAAACAUGGUAGCUCUUUGUGGUAAAUCUAACUAAUAUCCUAUCUAAUCUUUCUUCCGGUUGACCUUUAAAGUGAACGAAAACUGAUGAAGUUAACUAGGAAACCAAAUAUUUUGUAAUAUCAGUUGAUAAUGUUACGAGCUUUCUCUCUCUCUCUCUCUCACACACACACACACACACUCUCUCUCUCUCUCUCUCUCUCUCUCUCUCUCUCUCUCUCUCUCUCUCUCUCUCUCUCUCUCUCUCUCUCUCACAAAAAUGAGUGGUGAUCAAUGUGUAGCAUUUGGGUCCAAGACCUUGUGAUAGUGAUAUAUUACCAAUUACUACCCCCACAUGCUUUUGUUCCUUAACAAAAUUAAAAUAUAAGUUAUCAUUGAUGCAUUACAAGACCCAAUUGGGCCUUACUUGAAAACUACUCCUUCGUAUUAACAACGAACUAGUGAUUGGAUAUACGAAUAGAGUUAUAACAGUUUUUAACUAUUCUUGUAAUUACUUACACACCAUAGGAUCGCGUAAAUUAAAGCCAAUGAGUCCUAUGAUAAAUCUAUGCAAUUUUUCUUACCACAACUAAUUAAUAUGCAAAAUUGUUGCAUAAUGACAUAAAGUGAGAAUCAUAGAACACCCGUAGAAAUAGUAUGUUUAAUCCGUAUUAUGCAUUUUGAUCGUUACCAACAGGAAAAUGAAAAACACCUUGAUGUUUGAUUUUAGUUUCGCACAUCGGUGAUAUUCCUAGCUAUAUUGAUACUUCUUUUUUGAAAUUGAGAAGACACUUCACUUUUUUCUUAAAUAUUGACAAUGAAUUUUGUUUCUCCUUCAAGUGUAAACCUAUAUCGUCAAAAAAUAUACAUGGUAUUCCAAACAAGUCAAAUUUCAUAUUUUAUACAACUGGGACAAGUGACUCAGUCUCGCAUGUUGCAAAACGGUAUGUGAUCCGUGCUUUACAAAAAAGUGUUAUCAAACAGAAUGAUGUCAGUUGACUUCAAAAUGCUCCCAGGCCACUUGCAAGAUCAUAGAAUGUCUGCUCACUACACCGGAUUGUUAGGCCGCCCAUUGGAUGGUCAUAUCCAAACUCUUCCUCCGUCUCACGUAAUAAGUCCUGAAAUGAAGGCUGGCUUAACAAUGACACAGGAAUCACAAAACGCUUCUUUUCUUGCUCUCCAACAUAAACUGCAAAAUAUCCUUUGGGUAGAUCCGUGUCUGUUGUGCGGGUUCCAUUUGACAAAGACCGUUUUAGUAUCUGUCUUGCUUGAAUGAUCCGAGGCAUACGAAUACCCAUUUUUCUGAAGGUUUAUCACGGAGGGACAAAAGAAUUUGGGAGUAUUUUCUAAGUGAAAGAUGUACAGGAGGAGUUUGAAAGGAAAUUAUGCUGGUGCUUUGCCUAUCAUAUGCUAUAUAUAAAGGUUUAUUGGAGCUUCAAAUGUACAAUAAGUGAUAAAAAAGAAAUUAAAUGACAGAUCGGGACAUUGCGACUGGACGACAAGAUCAUGUGCUGUGUCUUUUCACUUGUAUAAUUAAAAGUACGAUCUUGAAUAGCACAACCACAAAAUCUCAAGCAAUAAUACGGCUUAAUCAUGUACUUGUGAAUAGAAACGAAUAUAACAAAGAAGAUGACUUGUAUCACCAGUAUUCUAAACUUAGUUGGGUAUGAAAAACGGUAGAAGGACCAUGGUCCCAUGGAAUAUUUAGUUGAAUGUGGCAAUGCCUCCCAACAAACAUAAUAUUGUGGCUAAGAUCUCUGGGGUUUUCAUGAAACAUAUGUGGCCCUAUCAUAAAUACAUGAAUUAGACAUUGGAUCUGUCUUACAGGUUGGAAGACAAAGCCAUGUGAGGUUGCCAUUUCUUCCACCGUAUGUCACCAUCCUCAAUCAAGAUCUGCUUAGUUGUAUCUCUGUAUAUAAAGACCAUUCCAUAUGAAUCACACAAUCACAACAUCUUCUGAAAUCCCUCGCACCCUUUCACCCAAAAGACGUGCUUCGAGAGUUUCCUUCCUCAAUCAGGCUUUUGAAGUGAACAGACACCCCCUCCUUAAAAAUGGCCAUCCUUUUCCCUCGGAUCAUUCAAGUAAAACAAAUUAUGCGGAGAUCAUUAUCCAAUGGAAGCGGCACUACUAAAUCUACGGACAUCCCGAAAGGCUAUUUAGCAAUCUAUGUUGGUGAGCAAGAAAAGAAGCGAUAUGUGGUUCCUGUAUGGUUGUUAAGCGAACCUGCUUUUCAAGAAUUACAAGAUCAGGCAGAACAAGAAUUUGGGUAUGUUCAUCAAAUGGGCGGCCUCACAAUUCCAUGCAGUGAAUAUACAUUCAGUGAUGUUGCUUCUCAGUUGGGCGCAUUAUGAGUUCUAUACAGCAUUCUUACAACCAACUAACCACUAGGUUUUUUUAUCAUUUGUAACUAAAUCGAGACAAUUUUUCCACUUGUAUGAAAUCGGAUUAAGGAACAGUUUGGAGUUCACUAUAAUUUGUUUAGUGUAUGAAUGAGAAACUAAUUUCACGGUUGAUUAUUUUGGAAAUAUGAAUUUUGGGAGUGAAAUGGAGUUUUAACAAAGAUAGUUGCUUCUAGUGGUAAAACGAACUAAUACCAACGAAUCUUUCUUCCAUUUUCAUAUUUUAGGUGAAUGAAACUAAGGGAAACCAAAUAUUUCGUAAUAUGAAUUGGUAAUUAUUGUUAUGUAUGCUGGAAUUUUAACUCAAUAAACAAUGUGGUAUUUAUCAAGUUCAGACUUAUCAUCAAAAAUAUAAUUGGUGAACAAUAUGUAGCACUUGGGUCGAUGACCUUGUGAUGGUGAUAUAUAAAACAUUAAAUCUCACAUGCUUUUGUUCUUUAAGCAAAUUAAUAUAUAAAUUGGCUAAACAUUGAUGCAUUACACGACGAAUUCGGUCCUGCUUUUAAGAACAAUUUCAUCGUAUGAAAAAAGAACCUGGUGAUUAGAUAUAUGAAUAACGUUAUAUCAAUGUUUAACUAUUCUUUUGAUUACUUAUACACCCAUAUAUCAUGUAAAUUAGAGCCAAUGAGUCAUGUUUUUACAACUAUGCAAUUUCCUUAUCACAACCCAUUAAUAUGUGAAAUUGUUGCAUACAGCAUUAACUGAGAAUCAUUGUAGAAUAUCCGUAGAAGUAUUAUGUUCAAUCAUGAUUAUGCACCAUGACCGUUACGUACAAGACAAUGAAAAAACAUUGAUAUUUGAUUUUGGUUCCUCAUAUCAGGUGUAAGCACAUGUUGUUAUUAGAUUAGCCAACAACCAAACAAAAAAAGUUUAGUAUUCGUAUAUUCAUAGUUUCUUUUUGUUGUUUUUUUUUAAUUGAGCAGACACUUCUUUUUUGAAAGAAAAAAAAUGUUGACAAUGAAUUUUGUUUCUCAUUCAAGCGUAAGCUUAUAUCGUCAAAUAAUAUAUGGGGUACUCCAAACAAGUGAAAAUUCAUGUUUAAUACAACAGGGACAAGUGACACAAUCUCGCAUGCAUGUUGCAAAAAGGUCGAUCAAUGCUUUACAAAAAUGUUAAAGCAAAUAGAAUGAUGUAACUUCACAUCAAAAUGCUCCUAGGCGACUUUGAAGAUCAAAGAAUGUCUUCUCACUACAACGGAUUUUAGGCCACCCAUUGGAUUGUAAUAUCGAAAUCCAAACUCUUCCUCCGCCAAACGAGUACAGUUCAUUAACAUCGAGGUCUAAGUAAUCUAAAGUAACAACUUAAUCUUCCCCAAUAUAAAUUUUUUACCAAAAGCUUAGAAUAAAAGUAUGUUGCUAUUUCUUGCAUUUAAACUUUUUUAAUGUUAAAAAUAAGUAUAUUAAAAAAAAUAACAACGUCAGCAAGUAGAUGAGAAAGAAGCGGAAUGCAACACCAAUCCAAUUUUAACCGAACAAUUUCAUUCUUUAGCUUUUGUCCCUUCUUUGUAAAUUACUUAGAACUAUCCCAUUUGCAUCAAUACACCUGUAGAUUUGUUUCCACAAUUCUUCUAACAUUUACAUACCAAUUCCACGUUAUAAUCAAAGUUUUACCUAGCCCAUUCCCUUUUCCAUUAUGUGUUUGAAUUUACAGUUCAAUUCCAAUUUGAAUAAAGGUUAGUAAUACUCAAAUCAGUCGCAUUCCAGAUAUUCAAGUUUUUGCCAUGCAAUCAUAUUUCUAAGCUCAUUAAAAAUAGUAAUACAUGAGUCCAAAUCCAAUUUCAAAAUUUAUUUAAAUAUAUUUGAAAAAUCAACUUACUAUAAUUUGGUUAUUUCCUCAAGAAUCUAACAAACUGAAGAACAACUGGAAUUUUGGGUUACCAAAUGUGAGAAAUCAUUCAUCUGUGUAACAUCCGGAUUCCCAUGUAUAUUAUUUUAUUCAUUUAUUUUUGCAGUUUGUGGAGGAACUCGGCGAGUUGGUGCCAAGACUCGCCGAGUAGGGUCGCGGAUGUUCAUCCGGGUUCACGUCCGGACUCGGCGAGUCCAUGGGUGGACUCAGUAAGUCCACGCUGUUUAAUGAAGCCCUAAUUUCCAGGGUUUGGGACCUAUUUAAAGGUCCUUAUGGCCGUCAAUAGCGGCUACCACACCCUAGAGAGAGACCUAGAUCGUUUGUGAGGUAAAGAGUGGCCAUUGUUGAUCUUUUGUUUGUGUGAAUUGAAGGAGAAGGUGAUCAAGGCAAGAGAAGGCUGCAGGAAGUGCAAAUCUUGUGAUUUCAAGGUUCAAGGGUUUCAUAUUGAGGUAUUCCUUCGGACUUUCUCUAGUUUUGGGUGGUUAUUCAUAAAGUUAGGGUUUUCAAACCCUUUAGAAGAUGAUUAUGUAGAGUAUUUGAUCCCUUCUUGAGUUUGUGCCUUGGAUCUGGACUCAAAGAGGUCCAGAGACCUUAACCCAUGGAGCUUUAUGAGUCAUUUUGGGGUUAAUGGACUUAGGUUGCCAUUUUUGGGGCUAAAUCACCAUUUGAUGCCAUUUUGUUGAUAUAUAAGCAUCAAGUUUCGAGAUUUACGUGACAUUCAUGCUUGGGAAGGCCAGAUCUAUGGUUUAGGGGAACAGAUCUGGCCUCAGGAGGUCAAUAGAGUUUGUGCAUGGCAUGAACUCGCCGAGUUGUUCUUGAGACUCGGCGAGUAGGGUUAGGAUUUCACGUAAAUCACUCGGUGAGUAGACUUGCCGAGUUGGGGGAUAACUCAGUGAUUCAGAAGGGGAUUAGAGGACUGGAGUUCGAGGCGAUACUCACCGAGUUGUUCUUGAGACUCGGCGAGUUGAGUCGGGGCGGCACCACGAUUCAUGCAAGGGGUGACUCGUCGAGCAUAGGGAGGGACUCGACGUACCAAGCGGGACAAAGAGUUAGUGGACAGGUGUGUACUCGCCGAGUCGCCAAAGUGCACUCGACGAGUUGGGUCAAAGUUUGACCGUUGACUUUAGUUGACUUUUAGGGUUUGGUCAACAAUGGAGUCUUUGAGUCGAAAGAGGGGUAAAAUAGUCUUUUACCCUUCUGAGGGUGCCAAUUGAGGGUUGAGUCUAGUCUCGAGAGUUAUAUUUAUGAGAGUAUUUACUUUAUGUGAAUAGGCGAAGGCUAGGCAAUAUUUCUACCGAGUCAGAGAUUUACCGAGACGUCUGCGGUGAGUCUUCUCACUAUACUUUACCUAGUGUGGUAACAGAGUUACGUGACAGAGUAUUUUAGAGUUAUAUGCCAAUGUAUUUGCAUGUUAUUUAUGUGUUUUGAUUUAUUGCGAUAUGUGAUAUGCAUGAUUCAGAGUUACAGAGUAAGGACCUUCGGGUCCAUUGAGUUAGGGUCGGAGGGCCCACAAAGAGUUGGGGCUGGAGGGCCCCACUGAGACACAUUGACCAGAGGGUCGACAAAGUUAUAGCCUCGAGUGGCUAUUAUGUGUUAGAGUGGUAUUUUGGGGAACUCACUAAGCAUUUAUGCUUACAGUGUUAUGUGUUAUGUGUUUCAGGUACCAAUGAUGAUCGCGGGAAGGCUCCAGCAUGAUUCGUACACACGCACAUUGGAGUUUAUAUAUUUUGAUCUUGGGGUUCUGUGCUGAUACAAUGUUGAUACAACGUUUUUAUUUAUGAAUGCAAAUGAUAUUUCAUGGUUUUUUAAAAGUGAAAAAUUGUUCAAAUUUUUACGGUGUUACAAUCUGUUAUAUGAUUUAUGUUCUCCUUUUCUUUUUCCCAUGUGGUUCGGUUCGCACUCAACAUAAUACAAAGAGACCUUGAAGGUAUCCCUUUCUUUCCAGAUUGCAGACAUAGGGUGUGCUUGACAAAAAUAGUUGUUACCCGGUAGCUCGUACCCGGUAGCUGCAAGCUGAAAACUAUAACAUUUAUUUGUUAUAUGANAUAUAUAUAUAUAUAUAUAUAUAUAUAGACAGUUGUGUAAAUUGAUUUAAAAAAGCCCAGUCGCAUUUUGUUAAAUGCAACAUGAAUUAACUUGUAGAUUUUGAGCAUUUUGUUUAAAGUCGAAAAUAAAUGCUUGUAUCGCUAAACGAAGUUUUUUGUUUAAAUUGGAACGUUUUUUCAAAAGAUACAAGCUCUCAAACACUCCCAAGCGCUCCGUGCCAAACACACCUACCAUGCAUAUAAAUGCAAACAAGCGUUUUCUUUUAUUUUGUUAAUAUUCGAUCUCACACAAAAAGAAAAUAAGGUGCUCCCCAAUUUCCACUUUUGAUACCAACAUCUAACCUAUGUUUGCAUUAAGCCCUUCAUCCUCUAUUUAUUUACAAACUGACCAAACAAUAAUAAGUAGCAGAUUUUUCCCUCUAAUUUCAAAUUCGAAAUAUUUCAAAAUACCCUUCUAAUUUAUGACAUAACUAUUCAACAUUUAUCUCAUUUUACAUAUAUAAACAAUUAAUUUACUUCACUAUUUUAUUAGUUUCCGUUUAAUAAACUUUUAGGCUAUUAAAUUCUAUUUUUCCCACCAGCAUGCCCUAAAAUUCUAAUAUACUUGAUCGUCUGAUGUUUGAUAUAAAAUUUGGGAUGUUGCCCAGUCUCUUCAAGAAAACCACCCAUCCACGACCUAAGUUAGUGUAAGCUAUGACGUUCACUCCAUGUUUACAGAUCAAAUUCAUAGAAGCUAGGUCAUCAAACGUAUUAUAAAAUUUGGGAUGUUACCAAUUCUCUUCAAGAAUACCACACAUCUACGACCUAAGCUAGUGUAAGCCUAUGAUGUUCACUACAUGCUCAAAUAAAUAAUUCGUAGAAGCUAGGUCAUCAAGCUUAAAAUUUAUCUCAUUUUGAUGUUGAGAACUAGAUGGUAUAACAACAAUAGGAGGAGGCAAAUCAUGCUUCAGAUAAAAAAGAGCCCUAUGUAAACAAAUACUAUAUUCAACAUUUGGUGCCUAAAAAUAUAUGAGCAAAUAAAAAAAUCGAAGCAACGAUAGCAAAUGGUUCGGAAAUUAAUAUCAAAUAACCAAUCCAAAUCCAUCUCAAGAGAAGCCCUAUAUAAACAAGUAAUGUACUCAAAACUUGAUGCCAUGUCGACUUGAUUUUUUUAAUUUGCGGUUUUAAGAGUUUAAAAAGUAUUAGUAAUUAACACCUUAAAAACGUCAAAUUUCAAUAAGUUACAUAAACACUAACAAACUAGUAAAUUGAGUAAUUAACAAUUAACCACUUAACAAUCCGACAUUUAAAUAGCUUAAUUUAAAAGUUCAAAUAGCACCAAACGAAUUUUUUAAGAGUUUGGGACAUUUAAAACACCACUAAAUCAAUAAGCUAAGUAUUAAUGACUAACAUCUUAAAAAUACCCAAUUUCUAAAAUUAAAAAAAAAAAAAAAAAGACAACAACAACAUUUUUUCUCCUACUAUUUUCCCUUUUUUCUUCCGAUGUACGAAUUUCCUAUUCGAACUUUCUUUCCACUAACUAGACUACAAGGCAAGAAAAAUCAUUACGUACUCAACAAAUAAAAAAUUAUUAACCAUUAGAGAAUAUAAACAAAGAGAAACAAAUUUUUUUGUCGACUAUUUUAUAAAUAUGAUUCUUUUGUUUGGGAGUGAAAUUGUGUACUGGGUUAAUGUUAUAUCUUGGCUUGUCUUGUACAAGUGCAUAAAGCAUACAAAGUCAACAAAAAUGGUAGCUCUUUGUGGUAAAUCUAACUAAUAUACUAUCUAAUCUUUCUUCCUGUUGACCUUUAAAGUGAACGAAAGCUGAUGAAGUUAAUUAGGAAACCAAAUAUUUUGUAAUAUCAGUUGAUAAUGUUACGAGCUCUCUCUCUCUCUCUCUCUCUCUCUCUCUCUNCUCUCUCUCUCUCUCUCUCUCUCUCUCUCUCUCUCUCUCUCUCUCACAAAAAUGAGUGGUGAUCAAUGUGUAGCAUUUGGGUCCAAUACCUUGUGAUAGUGAUAUAUUACCAAUUACUACCCCCACAUGCUUUUGUUCCUUAACAAAAUUAAAAUAUAAGUUAUCAUUGAUGCAUUACAAGACCCAAUUGGGCCUUACUUGAAAACUACUCCUUCGUAUAAACAACGAACUAGUGAUUGGAUAUACGAAUAGAGUUAUAACAGUUUUUAACUAUUCUUGUAAUUACUUACACACCAUAGGAUUGCCAAAAUUAAAGCCAAUGAGUCCUAUGAUAAAUCUAUGAAAUUUUUCUUACCAUAACUAAUUAAUAUGCAAAAUUGUUGCAUAAUGACAUAAACUCAGAAUCAUAGAACACCCGUAGAAAUAGUAUGUUUAAUCCGUAUUAUGCAUUUUGAUCGUUACCAACAGGAAAAUGAAAAACACCUUGAUGUUUGAUUUUAGUUUCGCACAUCGGUGAUAUUCCUAGCUAUAUUGAUACUUCUUUUUUGAUAUUGAGCAGACACUUCGGUUUUUUCUUAAAUAUUGACAAUGAAUUUUGUUUCUCCUUCAAGUGUAAACUUAUAUCGUCAAAAAAUAUACAUGGUAUUCCUAACAAGUCAAAAUUCAUAUUUUAUACACCUGGGACAAGUUACUCAGGCUCGCAUGUUGCAAAACGGUAUGUGAUCCGUGCUUUACAAAAAAGUGUUAGCAAACAGAAUGAUGUCAGUUGACUUCAAAAUGCUCCCAGGCCACUUGCAAGAUCAUAGAAUGUCUGCUCACUACACCGGAUUGUUAGGCCGCCCAUUGGAUGGUCAUAUCCAAACUCUUCCUCCGUCUCACGUAAUAAGUCCUGAAAUGAAGGCUGGCUUAACAAUGACACAGGAAUCACAAAACGCUUCUUUUCUUGCUCUCCAACAUAAACUGCAAAAUAUCCUUUCGGUAGAUCCGUUUCUGUUGUGCGGGUUCCAUUUGACAAAGACCGUUUUAGUAUCUGUCUUGCUUGAAUGAUCUGAGGCAUACGAAUACCCAUUUUUCUGGAGGGACACAAGAAUUUGGGAGUAUUCUCUAAGUGAAAGAUGUACAGGAGGAGUUUGCAGAGGAAAUUAUGCUGGUGCUUUGCUUAUCAUCGCUAUAUAUAAAGGUUUAUUGGAGCUUCAAAUGUACCAUAAUUGAUAAAAAGGAAAUUAAAUGACAGAUGGGGCAUUGCGACCGGAAGACAAGAUCAUGUGCCGCUGUCUUUUCACUUGUGUUAUUAAAAGUAUCAUCUUGAAUUGCACAACCACAAAGUCACAAACAAUAAUAUGGCUUAAUCAUUUACUUUUAAAAAGAAACGAAAUUUAACAAAGAAGAUAACUUGUAUCACCAGUAUUCUAAGCUUAGGUGGGUAUGAAAAACGGAAGAAGCACCAUGGUCCCAUGUAAUAUUAAGAUGAAUGUGGCAAUGCCUCCCAACAAGCGCGAAAUUGUGGCUAAGAUCUCUGGGGUUUUCAUGAAACAUAUGUGGCCCUCUCAUAAAUACAUGAAUUAGACAUUGGAUCUGUCUUACAGGUUGGAAGACAAAGCCAUGUUGUGAGGUUGCCAUUUCUUCCACCGUAUGUCACCUUCCUCAAUCAAGAUCUGCUUAGUUGUAUCUCUGUAUAUAAAGACCAUUCCAUAUGAAUCACACAAUCACAACAUCUUCUGAAAUCCCUCGCACCCUUUCACCCUAAAGACGUGCUUCAAGAGUUUCCUUCCUCAAUCAGGCUUUUGAAGUGAACAGACACCCGCUCCUUAAAAAUGGCCAUCCUUUUCCCUCGGAUCAUUCAAGUAAAACAAAUUCUGCGGAGAUCAUUAUCCAAUGGAAGCGGCACUACAAAAUCUACGGACAUCCCGAAAGGCUAUUUAGCAAUCUAUGUUGGUGAGCAAGAAAAGAAGCGAUAUGUGGUUCCUGUAUGGUUGUUAAGCGAACCUGCUUUUCAAGAAUUACUAGAUCAGGCAGAACAAGAAUUUGGGUAUGUUCAU
This 14937-nucleotide long non-coding RNA is filed under the name Lactuca sativa (garden lettuce). Its description in RNAcentral is "long non-coding RNA (LSAT_LNC001545)". The record is from RNAcentral. Lineage: Eukaryota; Viridiplantae; Streptophyta; Magnoliopsida; Asterales; Asteraceae.